Molecule: long non-coding RNA, 812 nt
Organism: Cyprinus carpio (common carp)
Lineage: Eukaryota; Metazoa; Chordata; Actinopteri; Cypriniformes; Cyprinidae
Source: Ensembl
AGCUAAACCCAUGUGUAUCAACAGCAGGGUUCUGAGCACAUGACUGAGUGACUUAAAACCUCAGGGCUAAUUUCAGUCUCAGUCGCUACAGCCUCAUCCCUGCUUGAUCUGCAGCCACAGCGAAUUAAAUCAUGGAGAAACUGAUGAUAAAAGAAGAUACUGUUGGCCACUUUUUGUUCCUGCUUUUCGGUAUUCUCCAUAACUCAGAUGCAAACAAAGAUUUGCUUUCUGCUUUAUAGCUGACGGGCUGCAAUGUUAUGCCUGUAACAUUGUGCAUAACCAGAGGUAUGUGGACGUAGGCUGUUCCAACCCAGAAGUCAUCACCUGCUCCCACUCCCACAAGGGCUUUAAGCAUCGCUUCUGCAUCAGAACAGAAAGUGUUGCGCUGGGAGUCAUGCUGACUAGUGGCUGCGCGACAGCCCGACACUGCCACACGGAGGAGCUGCCGGGAGUCAACAUCCACUGCUGCGACUCUGAUCUGUGCAACAGCGCCACCCGCUGGCGGACAUCCACACUGCUGCCUGUUUGCUCAUUGACGUUUAAUCUGUUGUUUCAAAGGUUGCUCCUGUGGACGAAAUAACUUUGACCUUCACCACAAAAUCACGGCAGCUACGCUUCCGAUUCGAGACAUACAUACAGGAGGGAACUUGAAAAUAUAACUAUAAAAGAUGUAAACAGACCCUGGAGAAUUAUGUGUGGAUAAACCAAACCUUCACGUAUCACAUCUGAUCUUCAGUUUAAAGUUAUCUUUGGAUCAUUUUUAAAUCAUUAAAUCAUCAUCCAAAAAUAAAUAAAUAAAUAAAAUAAAUUCA